UACGAAGGGUGCAAGCGUUACUCGGAAUUACUGGGCGUAAAGCGUGCGUAGGUGGUUCGUUAAGUCUGCUGUGAAAGCCCUGGGCUCAACCUGGGAAUGGCAUUGGAAACUGGCGACCUAGAGUGCGGUAGAGGGUAGUGGAAUUCCCGGUGUAGCAGUGAAAUGCGUAGAGAUCGGGAGGAACAUCUGUGGCGAAGGCGACUGCCUGGACCAGCACUGACACUGAGGCACGAAAGCGUGGGGAGCAAACAGG
Molecule: ribosomal RNA, 253 nt
Filed under: uncultured bacterium
Lineage: Bacteria
Description: partial 16S ribosomal RNA
Rfam family: Bacterial small subunit ribosomal RNA
Source: RNAcentral